Molecule: long non-coding RNA, 1723 nt
Organism: Diabrotica virgifera virgifera (western corn rootworm)
Lineage: Eukaryota; Metazoa; Arthropoda; Insecta; Coleoptera; Chrysomelidae
Exons: 2
Source: RefSeq, a predicted model, not a curated record
CAAAGACAUACAUAUUUUUUUUGUAAUCACACCUUCAAUUUACCGUGCACUUCUUCUAGACUCUAUCGAUAAGGUAGAGUCUGACGAAUUGUAGGGCGCUCUCGAUAUAAUAUACAGGGUGUUUGGUAAAGAAUGGGUCAUAGCUUGACCUGAGAUUUCUGAGCUUAAAAUAGGUCGAUUUAAGCUAACUUACCUUUGCACGAAAGUUGAUAAUAACCGGAAUACAGGGUGUCAAAGUUAAACUUUUAUUUUAUUUAUUCUUGAAUAUUUCCUGAUAGGCAUGGGAUAAUAACACGAAAUUUGGUAGGCGGGAGUUUUUUGGGACAAGAAAUGUAAAUUCGCCAUCAAAAAUGAUGUAUUAUCCAGAGGGCGCCACACACGCCUUUCAGCGCUCAUUUAAUACGUUCAAUUAUUUUUAUUACCCACUCUACAUACUUUUUGAAUCAAAACUUUUAUUCUCUUAAUACUUUUGCUUAAAGAAGGUAUAUUACAUUUAUCUCCCUAAACUCAACCGUUUUCGAGAUAAACGCAAUUUAAACUGCGAUGCAACAUAAUUUUUUGCAUAAUAUCCUUGUAGUUUCACCCGAAAAAUAUACUUAAAAUCAUAAUAAUUUCCAAAAAUGUAUCGCAAAUUUCUUGAGAAAAUAGAGGGGGGAUAAAAAAAAUUGAACAUAUUAAAUGAGCAAUGAAAGACGUACGUGGCGCCCUCUGGGUAAUACAUCAUUUUUGGUUGCGAAUUUGGAUUUAUCGUUCCAAAAAACCCCCGCCUACCAAAUUUCGUGGUGUUAUCCCUUACCUGUCAAGAAAUAUUCAAGUAUAAAUAAAAUAAAGUUUAACUUUGACACCCUGUAUUUCGGUUACUAUCAACUUCCGUAUUAAGGUAAGUUAGCUUAAAUCUUCCUAUUUCAAGCUCAGAAAUCUAAGGUUAAGCUAUGGCCCAUUCUUUACCAAACUGUAUAUCGACGCUGCCGAGCCAAAACGGCAUAAACGCCAAAAUGACCACUUUUUAGUUAGCUGCACCAAAAAAUAGGAUUUUAAUUUCCGCACCAGACAGUCAACGCGGUAUAACCCCAGACAAAGUGAAAUAGGGGUAAUAUUGAUUUAAAAUUUUUAUAAACGCCAGUCUAGUCACGCACGUGAACACCAAUUGACAUAAUCGCCAGUGCCCGUAAGAUUAUCAUUGUGUACAGUUCGGUCCAGUAAUAAUAGUAAAGAUGAAUAGCAGAAGUAAAAAAAUAAAGGCCUUACUAAAUGACGAUAAAAGAUAUACCGAAGCAGUAAAAAUGAUAAUAUACAGACUGACAAUAAUUCCCCUAUAUUCCCCUUAGAGGUUUAUGAUAUUUAUAAUGCCAAAAUUGCAGAAGCUUUUAGCAAUGACAUUAUCAUCUUUGAGGAACCACCAGACGUUGCAGUAGAAGAAGAAAUAUUUAGUCACGAUCUCACAUCAUGUUUCAACUUAGCAGCAGAUAAUGGUUUGGGUGCCGAUAUAAGUAGUGAUUAAAAUAAGGAAAAUACAACCAAUCAAAUCAAUAAUGAUGUUGAACCAAAUAUUGACAGUGAUUAUGAAUUAGAAUCCGCUAUUAUUAGAUAUCCGCUCCUAUUUGCGAAUUAUUUACUUUUAGGUAUUUCAUCCUAGCAUCAAAAACAUGUUUAAAGAAUUUAGGGUAUUGUUUUUAACUUAGAAUGUAUUUUUGGUUUAAAAAAAUAAAGCCUAUCAAAAAUC